RNAcentral lists this ribosomal RNA (258 nucleotides) under uncultured bacterium. Its description in RNAcentral is "partial 16S ribosomal RNA". It matches the Rfam family "Bacterial small subunit ribosomal RNA", at positions 96 to 354 of the family's 1533-position model. The record is from RNAcentral.
CGGCGGACGGGUGAGUAACGCGUGGGUAACCUGCCUCAUACAGGGGGAUAACAGUUAGAAAUGACUGCUAAUACCGCAUAAGACCACAGCACUGCAUGGUGCAGUGGUAAAAACUCCGGUGGUAUGAGAUGGACCCGCGUCUGAUUAGUUAGUUGGCGGGGUAACGGCCCACCAAGGCGACGAUCAGUAGCCGGCCUGAGAGGGUGACCGGCCACAUUGGGACUGAGACACGGCCCAAACUCCUACGGGAGGCAGCAG